UACGUAGGUGGCAAGCGUUGUCCGGAUUUACUGGGCGUAAAGCGUGCGCAGGCGGUUGUGCAAGACAGAUGUGAAAUCCCCGGGCUCAACCUGGGAACUGCAUUUGUGACUGCACGGCUGGAGUGCGGCAGAGGGGGAUGGAAUUCCGCGUGUAGCAGUGAAAUGCGUAGAUAUGCGGAGGAACACCGAUGGCGAAGGCAAUCCCCUGGGCCUGCACUGACGCUCAUGCACGAAAGCGUGGGGAGCAAACAGG
This 253-nucleotide ribosomal RNA is filed under the name uncultured bacterium. RNAcentral's name for it is "partial 16S ribosomal RNA". It matches the Rfam family "Bacterial small subunit ribosomal RNA", at positions 524 to 776 of the family's 1533-position model. The record is from RNAcentral.